Molecule: ribosomal RNA, 495 nt
Filed under: uncultured microorganism
Description: bacterial SSU rRNA
Rfam family: Bacterial small subunit ribosomal RNA
Source: RNAcentral
GAGUUUGAUCUUGGCUCAGGAUGAACGCCGGCGGUGUGCCUAAUACAUGCAAGUCGUACGCACUGGCCCAACUGAUUGAUGGUGCUUGCACCUGAUUGACGAUGGAUCACCAGUGAGUGGCGGACGGGUGAGUAACACGUAGGUAACCUGCCCCGGAGCGGGGAUAACAUUUGGGAACAGAUGCUAAUACCGCAUAACAACAAAGGCCACAUGGCUUUUGUUUGAAAGAUGGCUUUGGCCAUCACUCUGGGAUGGACCUGCGGUGCAUUAGCUAGUUGGUAAGGUAACGGCUUACCAAGGCGAUGAUGCAUAGCCGAGUUGAGAGACUGAUCGGCCACAAUGGAACUGAGACACGGUCCAUACUCCUACGGGAGGCAGCGGUAGGGAAUCUUCCACAAUGGGCGCAAGCCUGAUGGAGCAACACCGCGUGAGUGAAGAAGGUUUCGGCUCGUAAAGCUCUGUUGUUGGAGAAGAACGUGCGUGAGAGUAACUGUU